UUUUACUCUGACAGCAUAAUUUGAUCUGAUUUAGUUCAAUUUAGAACAAUACUGUGAACAUUCUGACAUUAUGCUGUGAUCGUGGAAUGCCUUCAGCUUCCUCUCAAGGCACUUUUUCUCCACUCUCAAAGCCACUUUACCUCUAGCGCAGCCUAAUGAGUAAGUUAAACACAUGAACUGAUCUGGGUGUUCACACUGCAAAAGCUUUUCAUUGAAUAAAAAGCACUUGAAGUGCUAGUUUUAAUGGUUCAAAAGAAACUAUAAAAGAUUUAUUGGUCCUUUUACCCCUUUGGGUAGUAAAAAACUUGUGGUCACCACUCUUGCAUAAAGUUUUCUGCUUUUUGUUCUGACUAUUUUGCUUCAAAAAGAAAGGGCACUUUGAAGUAUUUAUGUUUGUGAAGAGAUGCAUUCUGAAUUUAAAUAGUGCAGCAUGUCCUAUUGGAGUCUGGAACAAGAUGAAAAAAAUUCUAUGAUGACCUUAUGCACAGGAGGAAGCCACAAAUCCAUUAGGUUUCUUUAUCAUAUGGCAUGAUCCAGAAUGCAGGUUAUUUCUUGAUUUUAUUGUCCUGGUUCCAAAGGGAAUGCUCUCAGUAACUCAGCAGGUGCCUGUUUCUGAGUCUUUGGAAGGGUCAGAGAGCAAAGUCAUUGUUAGAGUUAUAGCACCAGGGUCUUGAGAUAGCAACAAUGUGUUUAAAGCUGUCUUCAUCUGGUAAGUGGGUGAGAGUGGCAUGACCCUGCAGCCCUGCCCGCAGCCCUUAAGAUUACAGAACAUAUCAGGAUUCCUGCACUCCCUAUAUUCUUCUGGUUUGCAACUGUUUUACUGGUCUUGAGAGCGAGGUAAGAGUUUGUUUCUCUGAAUGACACAUUUAUCCUGUUGAGCUCAGAUUCCAUUAUUGUGGUGAUCUGUGACACUUCACAGCUUGUGUAUAUGACUGGCAGGGGCUCCCAGGUAAGAUGGAAAUCUUUUAUGGAAAAAUGGAAAAUAGUGUUUUCUUUAUAUUACUUUUCAUAGUGGAUCAGACCCUUUGUCUCCUAAAAGAAAAGAGUAGUUACACAAAGAAAAUUAAUUUUAGAUGCUUUCUUCACAGAUUUAAUUGUCUACUAGUUUAAUUUCUAUAUGUAAUGAGCAUAAUUCAUCAGCUGAGCUUAUUUUUUUAACUCUUUAUUGCACAGGACCAGGAAGCAGUACAAUCAGUCUUUUCUUACUGCAGUAAGAGGUGGUUUCGGAGAGACUCUCUACGUGGUGUUCAAGUGCACAAAACAUGUGGGAGGCUCUGUGAAACCUCUUCUUCCAGACCAUGCUUCUGUCCACAUCUCCUUCCAGGCAAAUAUGGAAAUUUCUAUUUGUGAGUAUGCUGACAUUUUGAAGUAAAUGAGACAGUGUUUGGCAAAUCUAUGUCACAAACAACACCAUCAAGGGAUGCUGUCAGCUGUUUGUUUGUCAGAAGAAUGUUAAAACCUUUCUGUCUGCCUUACAGUCGCCUUUCCAAGGGAUCUACCAAUCACAAAAGCUGCCAGAUCACCAAGUGCAUAAUGUGAAAAAGCUUCCAUGAGUCGUGAGAUAAUCCUGCUCAACUCCUCAUGUGUAUUAAAUUAAUCUUUCUCAUUAACAUGUAAGGAAAUAGAAAUUCAGAUUUGUUUGUACAUAUUUGUCAAGAGGACUAGUAUUUCCUUUGUAUAAAAGUUACAACCAUAUUCUUGAGAGAACAGGAUCUUACAAUAAGGAAUUUAAGAGCCAUCUUUAUUUUGUCCUUAUUUCAAGAAGCAAUUUGUUCAGAGCUUUUGCACAUAUUUGUUAAGCUAUGCAUUCUAACCCAAAACUAAUUCAAAUCCAGACAAAUGUGAAAUUCUUAUUUGUCUGGGGAAACAUUUCAUUAAAUAUGCAUUAAGUCUCACUCUUACAUGUGAUUAUUACACUACAUUCAUUUUGAAACUGAUGAAAAGCAAAGCACAGACAAAAUUUCACCUGAAGUUAAUGUGAGAGUCUUAUAGUAGACCCUUAGUACUCAUGCCCCACACCCAGUGUUCCAGUGAAUAAAUUACAUCUUCUUUACAAAUUGAACAAAAAUCUAUGUUUAAUUUCUCAUAUUUGAUUGGUAGUAAGAUGCCUUUGGAUUGUGAUAUGCAACAUGAUAAAAUCUUGUAAACACUGCAGAAUAAAGGUGUAUUUUGUCACCUUAGGUUAUUAUUUCACAAAAGCUAAAAUCUAACAAAAACUUUAACAUGUCAAAAAUAGCCCUUUUAUUGAGGCCACUGGAAAAGAUAUCUGCCUUUAAUUUCAAAGAUGACCUAUGCAAAUAAAAUUUCUCCAUGUGAAACAGACAGAGUGAAAUAUUAAUUUGGUAAACUUCAGUAGACAUGUCAUGCAACAAAUACGCUUAGGGGGCAAGUGGUUAGGUGCUACUAGUUUUUUAAGCAUGUGAGUAGAAAAUAACACAUUGUUUUCAGAUGUUUUCAGACAGGCCUGAAACUGUGUUUGCCAUUUCUUUUCAAUUGGCAACAUUAACAGCAGCAAAGUCUGCAAAAAUUCUGGUAUUUAGGACAAGUUUAUCUGUAUUGCCCACGACUGCCAAUAGAUAAAAAGUAUCUUUUUGCACAAGAGAUAUCUAGGUUCAUACAUUUUAUUUAUUAAAUUCAGUUUCCCAGAAAAUCACCACUUUUCUAUCAUAAUUUCAUUCUAUGUCACAACUACAACUACAAAUUACUUCUCUGGGCUUAGGCUGUGCUCAGCAAUCAGCACAGUUAAACCAUAUAUCACAAGCAAUUGAAUCAGGGCAGACCCAUUUUUAGACUUGCAAUCUAUUAAAACUUCUGUUUUCUGGGAAAGGCUCCUAAAUGUUUUGUGGAUGGCUGCUGUUAAGUUUAUGUUUCUGUUGCUUUACAGAAACCCAGACCUGCAAAAUACCUGUAACUCCCUUGACAAAUGUACAAUUCUGCUCCCAUCACUGCUUUAUGCCUGCAUGCUUCUGAAACUUACAGACCCUUUCUAACUUACCAUAAGUCCAGUAGUUAAUAUGAUAAAAGAUAAUAUCUUAUCCACUUUAGCUUGCCAAAAAUCUGUGAGAGAGAAAUUCUUGAAGUAGAUCAUGUUAUGUUUCUGUAAGGGAUGUGUUUUUCCUGUUUCACAGUCUGAAGAAAUCAGAAAGCAGUUUUACCUUCCCUGUAGAUUAGCAAGAGAAGUUUCCAGGUUUAUUGAGCCAGCUCAAUGGCACUCAAUAUCUCUUUCUUUGGCACAUAGGUCAGAGCUUUUCCCAAGGCAUAUUUUUGUUCGAGGCCAUUCACAAUGUACUACAUGAAUGAGUACAUAUGAUGGCUACAGUAUGACAAUAUAUGAUGCAGAGCAUUGGGAUUUCUGACAAUUGUUAUUUCUUGAUUUAUUUUAUGUUUGAAAUUUUGGGAUGCAACCUUGGAAACAGAGCUGAAAGAGUAAGAGGAAGCAACCAUGUGAAGAACAAAUUAUCAAUGUGAUAGGGAGACCUCCCUGAUGGACAGCCUCAGAAAUGGAAAGAAUUUGUUCAUGUGAUAUUGAACUGUAAGUUUUCAAUAUGAGAUGAUGGAAAAGGAAAGCCAAUUCUUUUCAUUCUAGGGCUGAAUAUGCAGAGAUAUCUCAAGAGAAAGAAAACAGGUAGCGGUUUUCUCUGGACAUUUCUGGUGGAGUAAUAGGAGGAAUAUGGGAUUCAGUUCAAGAAACUACCUCCCAGAUUACAUUUGUAAACUGUAGGGACUUCAGAAAAGACCAUGACAAUUCUAGAAAAUUACCCAUCUCUGGCUUGUUUAAUGCCUGGAGUGAAACAAGAAAUCAGUAAGCAUUAGAAGGAUGAAAACCCAAAAGACAAAAUUGUUAUUUUAAAGAAUGCAUGGGAGUGCAAAAAGAAAUAGUGUUGUUAUGAUGUUGAAUAACGGUAAAGAAAGUUGAACUGGCUAUUUCAAACAUAUCGAAGUUCUAUUAAAGCAGCAAUAUUACCUUUCUGAGGGAAAUG
Molecule: non-coding RNA, 3980 nt
Organism: Cyanistes caeruleus (blue tit)
Lineage: Eukaryota; Metazoa; Chordata; Aves; Passeriformes; Paridae
Source: RefSeq, a predicted model, not a curated record